GGAUCUAUGAUGACAACAGGUAUCUGAGGACGUUGACUGACUUGAAUAUUUCAGAUCUGAGGUCU
Meriones unguiculatus (Mongolian gerbil) is the source of this 65-nucleotide small nucleolar RNA. RefSeq annotates it as small nucleolar RNA SNORD109A. The record is from RefSeq and is a predicted model, not a curated record. Lineage: Eukaryota; Metazoa; Chordata; Mammalia; Rodentia; Muridae. The transcript has a single exon.